CGUGAAUUCAAUCUCAUUGUCAUAAAAUUUAGCCUAAUUCAUUCAUCAUUGAAGUUUCAUGAAACUGAGAAAACACAUUAAAAUUUGAACAUGUAAAACACGAUAAAAUCCUCAAAUCACAAAUCAGGAGAGCUCAACUUGAAAACGAUCAGACAACAACCUUCAAUAUCCCUAGCUGCUUUCUUGGAAAUCCAAAUGACUUCUCCGGCUGGAGAUUUUGUAAGAAGGCGUCAAUAAAAAGAGGGCUUAAGGCUUGCUUCUCUGCUUUCUUGAACGUCCAAAUUCUCUCUCUCUAGAGAGAUCAGAAAGAACCAGAUGCCUUAUCUUUCUCUCUUUAGUUUCUAGAUUCAGACCUUAAAUCACUGCUAGCCAUUGUGCAAGAUCAUCAAAUCGCUUCUUGUCAGUUUGUGAGAUCAGAGGGGCGAACAAAGGCUGGCUUGUUUAGCGUAAAGUUGAAAGCGAAUGGGGGAAAAGAAAAUACUCGAG
This 486-nucleotide long non-coding RNA is filed under the name Amborella trichopoda. RNAcentral's name for it is "long non-coding RNA (ATRI_LNC000180)". Lineage: Eukaryota; Viridiplantae; Streptophyta; Magnoliopsida; Amborellales; Amborellaceae. The record is from RNAcentral.